Molecule: ribosomal RNA, 568 nt
Filed under: Limosilactobacillus reuteri
Lineage: Bacteria; Bacillati; Bacillota; Bacilli; Lactobacillales; Lactobacillaceae
Description: bacterial SSU rRNA
Rfam family: Bacterial small subunit ribosomal RNA
Source: RNAcentral
UGGCGGCGUGCUUAACACAUGCAAGUCGAGCGGUAAGGCCUUUCGGGGUACACGAGCGGCGAACGGGUGAGUAACACGUGGGUGAUCUGCCCUGCACUUCGGGAUAAGCCUGGGAAACUGGGUCUAAUACCGGAUAUGAGCUCCUAUCGCAUGGUGGGUGGUGGAAAGAUUUAUCGGUGCAGGAUGGGCCCGCGGCCUAUCAGCUUGUUGGUGGGGUAAUGGCCUACCAAGGCGACGACGGGUAGCCGACCUGAGAGGGUGACCGGCCACACUGGGACUGAGACACGGCCCAGACUCCUACGGGAGGCAGCAGUGGGGAAUAUUGCACAAUGGGCGAAAGCCUGAUGCAGCGACGCCGCGUGAGGGAUGACGGCCUUCGGGUUGUAAACCUCUUUCAGCAGGGACGAAGCGCAAGUGACGGUACCUGCAGAAGAAGCACCGGCUAACUACGUGCCAGCAGCCGGGGUAAUACGUAGGGUGCAAGCGUUGUCCGGAAUUACUGGGCGUAAAGAGUUCGUAGGCGGUUUGUCGCGUCGUUUGUGAAAACCAGCAGCUCAACUGCUGGCUU